RNAcentral lists this long non-coding RNA (568 nucleotides) under Elaeis guineensis (African oil palm). RNAcentral's name for it is "long non-coding RNA (EGUI_LNC017338)". Lineage: Eukaryota; Viridiplantae; Streptophyta; Magnoliopsida; Arecales; Arecaceae. The record is from RNAcentral.
AAGGUUGUCCUGCUGUAAGGUUUACCCCUUACAGUGCAAAGGUUGUCCUAGUUUGUGUAGAUCUAUCUUUAAUCAUAAAUUUGUUAGAUAUGAUCUAGAUUAAAUUUAUGAUUUAUUAGAUUUAAAAGAUGUUUAAAUCUGAAAUAAAAUCUCUUUGUUAAUAAUUUUUGUGCAAAGAAAUUGUUUAAAGUUGAAAUUGUUUCAAUUACAUGAACCCGUUUAGAUUAGAUCUAAAGUAGUUUCAUGUUUAUUUCACUUGCAACUUGAUUAUGAAUCAAACAUGCAAUAUGGUUGGUAGAAUCAUAUUAUAAAAUUAUUUUACAAAUAUGAAAAUUAUUUUUUGAAAAGCCGAACCCAACCCUCAGCCCAAAACUUAAUUAAGAAUUAAGAAGUUGUUUGAUUAGGUUCUAAGAUUGUGAAUUGAAGAACCUAAGACACAAAUCAUAACACAUUGGGUUAAUGGGUUAGUAGGAAUUAGGUCCAUUAAUUGGGUUAGACCUAUGGUUAGAUUAAAGAUGAACUUAAUUGGAGAAUUGACUAAAUCUAAUCAAUUGUUGUCUUAGAUUAG